CGGGUGAGUAACACGUGGACAAUCUGCCCCCCGGCCCGGGAUAGCCCAGGGAAACCUGGAUUAAUACCGGAUGAGACGGGACCCGCGAUGGCGGGAUCCGGGAAAGGCGCUGCGGCGCCGCCGGGGGAUGAGUCUGCGUCCCAUUAGCUAGACGGCGGGGUAACGGCCCACCGUGGCGACGAUGGGUAGCCGGCCUGAGAGGGUGGACGGCCACAUUGGAACUGAGACACGGUCCAGACUCCUACGGGAGGCAGCAGCUAAGAAUCUUCCGCAAUGGGCGAAAGCCUGACGGAGCGACGCCGCGUGAACGAAGAAGGCCGUGAGGUUGUAAAGUUCUUUUCGGGAGGGGGAACAACCGUGGCAGGGAAUGGCCGCGGGAUGACGUGAAUCCCGGAAUAAGCCCCGGCUAACUACGUGCCAGCAGCCGCGGUAACACGUAGGGGGCGAGCGUUGUUCGGAAUCAUUGGGCGUAAAGGGCGUGCAGGCGGUCCUGCAAGUCCGGCGUGAAAGACCCCGGCCCAACCGGGGGGACGCACUGGAAACUGCAGGGCUUGAGUACAGGAGGGGAUGCCGGAAUUCCAGGUGUAGGGGUGAAAUCUGUAGAUAUCUGGAAGAACACCAAUGGCGAAGGCAGGCAUCUGGCCAUGUACUGACGCUGAGACGCGAAGGUGCGGGGAGCAAACAGGUUUAGAUACCCUGGUAGUCCGCACAGUAAACGAUGUGCACCAGGUGGCGGG
RNAcentral lists this ribosomal RNA (737 nucleotides) under uncultured bacterium. RNAcentral's name for it is "bacterial SSU rRNA". It matches the Rfam family "Bacterial small subunit ribosomal RNA", at positions 103 to 827 of the family's 1533-position model. The record is from RNAcentral.